Non-coding RNA from Xyrichtys novacula (pearly razorfish), 8872 nucleotides. NCBI's taxonomy places the organism in Eukaryota, Metazoa, Chordata, Actinopteri, Labriformes, Labridae. The record is from the annotation of a GenBank genome assembly.
GCUUUUCGCUCAGCCUUGAUUUUGUUGCACUGAGGGUAACUUUUAAAACUAAAUUUGCUCUCUCACUUUUUUCUUCCACUUUCCUGAGAAGUAUUUUGAUCAUUUUGUGCAUGUUCCUCAACAAGAUUUUGCAACAAACCUGCCAAUAAAUCCGAGAUCGACCGGCAGUUAGGGAACCGGUGUGAAGGUCGAAGCUUUUGGUUUGCAGGUCCCAACCCUCAUUUGCCGUCAUGAGCUCUGGAAAGCAACCAGAAGAUUGAGAUCACAGACUCAAGCAGCCGAGAGGAGGCUCAGAGUAGAUCCGCCGCUCCUUCACCCUGAGAGGAGUCAGCUGAGGUGCUUCGGCAAUCGAUAAUGUCCCUCCAUGAUGCCUCCCUUCAGAAGCUUUCAGAGCAUGUCUAGCUCGGAGGAGGCCUCGGGGUAGACCAGAGCUCGCUGGAGGGAUUAUAUAUCCCAUCUGGUCUGGGAACGGUUUAGGAAUCCCCGGUCGGAGUGAGAAAACAUUGCUAAGGAGAGGGAUGUCUGGGUCAGUUUGUUCAGACGUACGCCUUCGCUUUGGAGAGGCAGAAGAAAAUGGACGGAUGGGACUGUUUCAUGAUUGGUGGAAAGUUCUCAGUAUGGAGGUAAAACUUCUCUCUCACUGUUUUGCAAUGUGGCUUAUUUGCAUAGAGGGGUGCAUACUUCACCCCAAUUAAUGCUUAAUAGCUUAUCAAAACGUAAACAAACAACACCUGCAAACAUUGAAGCUAUUUGCUCUGCAGCGCAGCUUGGUGAUGAUUGCUGAUUCAGACUGUCUGUUUGGUUCAUUUAUGCCGGUUAGUAAGCACAGGCUUUAGGUUUUUGACUAUGUUGUGCUUUUUAUGUAUUAAUAUUAUUGCAUUUUUGAGUGAGAGCAAGUUGGCUGACUGCCGACUUCUUCUCUAACAGAGACAUCACUCAGCAGAAUGUAAGCUCGAGAAGUGCUGUCCGACCUGAAAGCACUGAUUUGUUGCUUUCGUAAGACUCUUCCUCAUGUGUCCAAUCUAUUCCCCCACGAUCCUAAAGCCCAAAUAGAGAAUUUCAGGAUGCAAUAGGAAAUGAAAAAGUUCUUUUUGCUUUGGUUAGCCGUGCCAUCCAGCCGGCAUGUUCCAAAGGCUCUUUUUAAUUUGGUUUCCAGCUGGUUUACUUUGAGAGAUUGCCUGCACUUGCCUUCAUGUCAUGCUUCUUUGCCUCUAAUCAUUUCACAUAAGCAAUGAAUCAUCUGUGUGUCCUCUAAACCAAGACAGCUUCUGCCCCCACAAGGUAAUAUCUUAUUCUGGUUCCCGGCAAGGUUUACAAACACGCCGCCAGGGCAAUGUCUCACGGCCUCAAUGUCAGGAAAUAGUCUGAACCGGGAAAUUAUUAUGCUAGCAAUAUGGGUUCCCCUGGACUCAACCUCUGCUGGAAAAUGUGAGCUCAUCUGAAAGAAAGUAUGAUUUCAGCAGGGUCAGCUCGGUGCCACUCAGACUCACCUGCUGAGUAAACUCUCAAGGCUACAAGUAAGUACAGAGUGGAGAGGCUAAGAAGCACAUAUUGAAUGUGACUGAAGUGUGUUUACUUCUCUGUUUCUGUGGAAAUACCUGACUUUGUUUUGUGGGGAGUGGACAUGUGGAAACUUGUAAAGCAGGGCGGUUUAUUCACCUGUCCCCUCGCACCGCUUUCAGGCAUUCAAAUUUACAAUAUAAAAAUCUAUCCGAUCAAUCUGUCCCCUCCUCUGUGUGAUCAGUCCUGAUCAGUUUUACCUGUGUCUUCUUUGUCCCACCUGUGUUUGAUUAGACCUCUAAUAAGCCGGUGUUUCCUCCCCUUCUGUCUCAGUUUCUGUCUCAGCUGUAGUCCUCUUUUUUUUUUCCUUUUUUUUGUUUCUCCAGUGUUUUGGGAUUUUGAGUUUAAUCUAGUCGGACAUCAUAACCUUUAAAGAGCAAGUUUAUCGUUAACACCAGCACUUUAGGUAAGCGCUGAAGCAGCAGAUGCUCCUACAGUCUCUGAGCACCAACUCCCCUCUGCAGUAGGUGAGUUAAAGUCCUGUAGAUGGUGUUGAGGGACAAUCAUUUUUUCCAAAAAUAUGUCAUCCAAUGAUUGGGCUAAAGUCCAGAUUAAAGGUGGAGUAGUCAGGAUCUGAGGAAGUUCCAGUUUUGGGGAGCAAUCUUGAAUGUAAACUAUACCCCUCCCAACCCUCAGCUCCUCCUCUCCCCUCAAGCCCCGCCCAUAAACAGACGCUCCUGCUCACUCGUAUCGUUUCAAUUAAAUUCAGAUAUAAUGCAGAUAAUUACUUCAGAUAAUUACAAAUGGGGCCCAGUCAACGUGAAAGUAAAAAAUAUUGGUGCUACUGUAGAUGCCAACAGACUACCAGCAAACACAAUGUUUGCAGGACUUCUACAACUAGGAUAAAGUGACAUAGUCCAGGACCCGAGGGAGGACAGUUUAGCGAUGGCGCUACAACACGCUACAGCAGGUCCGUUUGACAAGAAACACUUCUGUUACAGACACUUGUCUUACUUUGUUAAAGCGGUUUACCUGUCCAGCAGAAAGGUUAGGGGGUCACCAAGAUCCCCAAGCGUCCCCCAUCGUUUAUGUUGACCCGGUUUUUUAGCUCUUGUCCGGUCUACCUCAGUUUUAAGCGCCAGUUAUUCCUCCAGUGUCUCCGGUAUUUACUUUGUUUUCUUGCUUGUGUCGGCAGUCGUGGCCAAAGGAGGAUUCAGACAAUUUUCCGAACUUUCUGGUUGGUUUCUACUGUCCGAUAUUGUAGCACGCUAACUUUGUUUGGUCUCCUGAACGACACGGGGGAGCAGCGUCUGCCUCAUAACCAAUCAGGAUGGGGGAGGUGGAGAACGGCUUUGUUUACAGUCAGAAAGAGCGGACCGCUCUGAAAUUUUAAAAUGUUGACUACACAGACAUAAGAGAACACAGCGAUAUCGUGAUAUUCCCAAAUGUCAUCAAUAACUAACAGCUAUUGACUGAUACUGAAAGCUUUUUUGUAUAAACACCACAAAAAAAAGAUGCUUCUUGAAUGGAUUCCUGCUGACCCCACCUUUAACUUAAAGUCCAUUUACCUCCAAAUCCCUCCCAUCAAAGAUGCAGAUUAGGAGAUGAAGAUGGAGGAGUCAUCAUCAAACCUGCUGACUACUAAACUGGAACUAACUAGCUUCACAGGUCUGCAGGAUUUCCAGGUAAGGCCAAUGACCAAGGACAGAGCAGGCUGCAGUUUGGGAUUCAGGACCUGGACUAGAAGCACUGAUUCAUACGGAUAAUUACAGAUGAAACUCAUUUCCUCACAGUUGAUUUCCUCAGACUAUCAUCACUCUCUUCACUCUUCUCUUCUUCUUCCUCAGCUUUUGUUCCUGCUGACUACCAAACUGAAACCAAUUACUCUGAGUGUAGCUGACAGCUAGUCGGUGCUACAAUGUGGUGAAUUCAUGGUUCACGUCCCCAGCAAAAGGUCUAAAAGGUAAGCACAUGCAUGCAGAUGUGAAAGAAGGAGAGAUAUGAAACUGUUAUCUUGAUUUUUACUAAGAUAGAAGCCGCCUGAUUGCUUGAUUUGCAUCCCAUUAUAUAAACAGUGUUGUGAUUUCUUAAUUACCGAUGUAAGAACAGGGAUCCUGCGAGCUAACGCCACAUUUCUCUUUUGCGCACAAAGUAGAGACAGCCAGAUCUGUAAAAACUAAACACUUGUGUGAAUGCCAUUAUUCUAAUUUUAAAGUUUGGCCCAGCCGUGUGUUCGCUUUGCAUGCUCAUUUGGACGAGCCGAAAAUCUGUCUUGGCUCGGGUACAGUACGAGUUUUGUCCGACUGCUUGUCCAAAAACAGAAUCUCUUGAUAUUCCGAUUUAAAUGUAUAGUGAGAGUCGAUUUAUUUCACAUAUAAAAGUGUAAAAAACUCAGCCUUUUGAGGGUUUAAAUUCAGUACUUUGUAUGUUUACAGAGCCUUGAGGCUGUGAUCAUCUCGCAUACACAAAAGUCCCAAUAAGUCUCUGAAUCCAUGCCUCUGAUCUGUGUGAGGAAGCAAAGCAUGAGUGACAGUUUAAUACCCAAAGAGUGCAUUCUGGGUGAAUGAUCAUUUGAAGUUUGCUUUAUGGAUUAAAGAUGGGGAUUAAAGUUAGUGUGCGCCACAUGUAGAGUGUAAUUGUGCGUGUGUGUGUGCGUACGAAAGCAGCAGACAAACGCCGCCGCGGCAGGUGAAAGGGAAGGUUAGUCUGCAUCAAAGGUUUCAUUUUCCCUCAGAUUGGAUGACACGGGGACAGUGAGUGAUGGGCUGGUGGAGGGUGGGAGGGGUGCGGGUGAGACGUGUGUGACAGGGAGCUGGAGGCGGGUUGGAUAGACAAGGACACCACAUCCGUCUAACAAGCAGGGGACCCUCAUUCAUUCUCAUUGUGAUACUGUUUUUACGCCUGGGCUGCAGCCAAGAGGAAGAGGUGACUUCAUUAUUCAGACAGCUGCAGGUCGAGGCAGAGGAGGGGCCGCAUGAGGGGCAGAGGGGGGCUGCUAUGUGGCUUUGCUUUCAACAGCAUCUGAUUGAAGUGUUGCAAAAGGCAGUAUUUCCAUUGUGGAGCCAAACUCAUGCUAAUACUCGGACCCAGAGGAAUAAAAACUGUGCGCACAUAUAUUCAUAACAGCGAGGGAGCCAAGAGAGGAAAUGCAGGUUUGUUUAUCCGCAGAGGAACUGUCGGCAAUUACUGUUGUGUCAGAAAGCACAAAGAUCUGGACAGAUAGCGAGAUAAAAAAGCGAAUACGCCAAAGUUUUAACGAGGUAAGUUUGAGGAAAAACAAACGCGGCGUUAAUUGUUUAUGGUAUCAGACAGAAAAGUAGAACCUUCUUCUAAAAAUGUGUGAAAUGCAGAUCAUCUUUGGUGGCGAAACACAAAUAAAUCAAUCAAAGGACAGAAAAAGCGGGAAACGAAUCUUUAAUUUUGGACCUAAUGGAAUCAAAAUGACCUUUUUCGCUGCAUUAACUCAAAUCCAUCAACAUGCCUUAUUAUAAUAAACCUCGAUUUCCCUCAGCUCUGGAUAACAGCCAAACUUUAUGGGUGUGCGAGGGGGUCAUUUCUGCACAAAUUAAUGUCACACACAGUUUACAAGCCUUCCUCCCGAUAAAAAUGAUUAUUCCUCUUGAUAAUAUUUCACAGCCUGAGACCGGCGUUCAUUCUCAUCCCGUUAUAUUUUUGCACUUUUUAUUGCGUGCAAUUUACACACGCAUAAAAGACGGAAGCAAAGUGCACUCAGAUUAAACUAUAUUUUCAAAGUGCCCUGCAGUGAUGGGACAGGGUUUAAGUUUAGAGAGGCACACGUACUUAUGACCUUGAAAGAGUCAUAAACAUCCACCUGUGAUAUGACGCCCCUGCUAAAAUGGUCAUACCUCAAAUUCUGGCCAUAAUAACCUUCAGAUUAUCAACACUGCUGUCAUUAAAAUCGAGAAAACAGUGACCACUUCUCAGUCUGUGCCAUCAUUGAAGCUAGAAGACUUCACCGAGCUUUAACCAAGUUAUUAUUUCUCAAUCCUCUUGUAGUUGUGUCAACUUCUCUGUUCAACAUAAAUUUAACCAUCAAUCUGUGCGUCUUAGUUCUCUACGAUGAUGCUCUCCUCAGUCCUCCAGUGAACCUGAAGCAGUUAUGGACCCAUCAUGUUCAGGAUUGAUAACCAAAGAUGCAGGAGAUCAGCCUCUGCAGAAGUCUUUUGACUGAAAGACACGCCCCCUUUUCAUUCAUCCCUCACUGAUUGGACGCUGCAGCAUCUGGAGACACAACAACUGCACAUUUUACCUGUAAAAUGGUCCAUAUGGUCUAAAGUAGGACACAGAAUAAACAGACUGCAGGUUGUUUUCAUGUGCAGGUGUGUGCAGACACAAACAGCUGUCAAAGCUGACUGACAGCUGAUCCAGCGCCGAUCAGCUGAUGCAGUCAUCAAAAGACAUCACUUUGUGAGGCUCCAGAAAAAAGGACGUCUCAUGUCACUUUCUCCAUCCAUCUCUUCUCUCUUAAUUUUCAUGCAUCUCUGGUGGGAGGGACUCCGACUCCAGGAGGAGAUGCAAGUAAAGGAUGCAUGGAUGCAGUUUAAGGAAGGUUAUAAGUAGGGCUGCACGAUUAAGCGGUUUUAAAUCGUAAUCCGAUUAUUUAAUUAUGACGAUGUUAAAAAAAUUUAAAUCCUCAAAUCAGUUUUCCUUUCGAUCAUGUCUCACACCUCCAGGCCACCGUAGGCUCCCCCUGAUGCGGGAGCGCUCCUCAGUUCCCAGUGUAAACAAACAUGGCGGUUGCAAAAGAAAGCGAUAAUUUUGUGGCUAAAUAGGACAAGAGCAAGUCAGUCGGGUGGAAUUGGUACGACUUCACAGUUUCGGAUAAAGAGUAAACCACGCGCCGCUGCAAGGUGGUAUCAACCCGUCCACAUGAAGACAAAUUCAGGAGUAAACACUAAAGUUUUUGUCGUAUCAGCAUUUCAUCCACAUGGAAAUGGCGUUUCGGGUGACUGUAAACGGUGCUUUUUGAAAACGGGUCAGAGAGAGCAUAAAUCCGUAUAUGACGACCAUUUUAUCUCCGCAUGGAUGUCUAUCUGCAUCUCUUGAAACGAUCAUGUGACUCACAGCGAAACUUUCAUGGCGCCUGCGUGUGUCUGACCAAAACAACCUUUAUAAACGCGCUCUGUACUCUUCUUCUGUCUUUUGUGCAUUUCCUCGGCAGCGUUACAGCGCCACUUACCGGCUUGGCGUUAGCACUACAUCGUUUUCAGUGGUUUCGUUUUGAGAAACGAUAGAAAAAAUUAAUUUUAAAGUGAAGUUUGGUGAAGUUGUCAUCAAAUAAGAAAUUGAAAAUUGAGUUUUCAGAGAAAAAAAAUCUGGAUUCUACUUUUGGCCAAAAUCAUGCAGCCCUUCUGUUAUUGCAGAAUUUAAUGUACAAGAUGCACUUUGAGUACUUUUAUUUUUGAUCAUCUAAAUGGUGGGCUGCAACCUGUACACUCGUGUUAUCUGUUUAUCAGUAAGAAAUAUGGAGAAAGGUGUUUCGUUUUGGAAUUUGGGAAUUUUACCCAGAGGAUUGUGCUCAAUUUUAAUCACGAGGAGAGUUAGGUAAGCUGUUCAUCUUUGUUUCCUCCAAGUUUUACCAAUCAAAUCUCUUCACUUCAUUGUCAGUCGCUUUCCAUCAUUAAAGCUCUCAUAAAACAAGAAAAAAGUACGCCUUGUUAAAAUAAGUCCUGUUCCCCAAGCUCUUAUUUCAAACUCUUGGCCUUUGCAGUAGUUUUUUUUUCUGGACCCAAAGUGGUACUUUUUUAUUUUUGCCAUCAUUAAAUGUUAUUAUGUAGUGAAAAAAGGGGGGGAGGUUUUACUAGCCUGUAAUUAUGUUAAUCUUGCAAGUACACAAAAACCAGAGUACAGCUGAGCAUGCCAAAAAAACAAAUAUAAUGAUGAGGAGAAAAACGACGCUCAUAUAUCGAUGUUUUGGUUUGACAGCGUCUGAUGAUCAGAGGUCGUAUGAGGCAACAGCUCAUGGCAGAUGAAGACAAAGAGUGUGGAGUGAUGGAGUGUGUUUUCACUUGAUGAUCCUUGAAUAUAAUAAAUUAUUCAGUGGAAGUGUGGAGCAGAUGUACCUGUGAGAGAGAAAACCGUGAGGGGUGAAAGAGCGAAAACAAUCUGAGAGCUCGGCGCCGGAGCAGCUUCCUGAAAAUAGUCCUGCUUUGGGCACCUCAUCAGCCGGAUCCGCCGUCAGACGGUCCAAACUUCGUGAAGACGUUGAAACCCACGCUGCUCAGAGCUUUUAACAAGAAGCUCACUAUUGACGGCUAAUGGAGAGGUCAAACACCUCGCAGGGCAGUUUAUCUGUUUUUCUUCAUGCCUUUCUCUUUAGGUGCACGGUGCAAUUUCCUAAUCAACAAUAAUUGUUCCACCCUGUCGAUACCGUAGACGGGGCGAUGGAGAUUUCAGGCGGUUAUGAUGUACGGGGCUGAUGGGAUGAGCGAGUGAAAAGCGCGGGUACGUGCCUGAACAGCUUGUGGAUCUUAUAAUGAGAUCUCCAGAGAAGAGCUGCACUGUAGCUCCAAGACACAAUUAGGCCCAGCGCUGCUCUGCCUCCAAGACAGAGCUCUAUAGGCAGCUCAGAGGUGGUAAAGGAGCGAGUGUGUGCAUGCAUCUGUGUGUGUGCGUAGAAAUUGAAGUUAUACCAUAAAUAUUUGACGGUUGCGUGGCGUACCUGUUGCAAAUAGCUAAAACUUUUCUCCUCUAAAUGGACCAUAAGAGAUCAGUUUGAUAUUCAUCUGUGACUUUAUCCUCCUUUAGUCUGAUUGCACCAUCCCUGCAGACAAAGAUCCAGACAGGUUUAGAAAUCCUGCAAAAAGCUAAAACCCUCCAAAAGAUCUCUGGUCAGGUCCGGUUAAUACGUUCGAAAAAAAGCGCUCCAGGGGUCAAAAUAACUGCUGCAAACCAAUAAAGUUUGCAUUUGCCUUUGGGCUGUGAUUGGAAAACGAAUAAAAAAGCAAGUUUGAUUUGUUUCGUGGGAUUACAUUUAAUAAGACGGAGCACAAAAAGUUGUCUGCACGGAAAAUAAUCGAACCCGAGGAGGACUCUGCAGCUUGUAAAAUGGAUGUUCUUCAAACAUGAAGUUUCUCCAGCUUUUAAUAGGUCUAUAAAUAGAGCCAAAGUGAAGUCCAGGGUCAACCAACCACAAAAUACUCUCUGACCUGUCCGAGACCAGGAGAAGUUACAUCAGCAUUAAUAGAACUUGGCUUCCUCUGCACAGAACCUUGGCAUGCAAGUCUGAUGUGCUAGGAGGUUUUAUUCCCUCACAACUCUGUGCUGCGAAGUUCGAAGCAUCUGCUCGAAUUAUUAAUAAGUCUCCUGUACGAUCGGUUACUCUUCCCUGAUGCAAACAUCAACACCAACA